GGUGGCGCAACGGUAGCGCCUCUGACUUCAGAUCAGAAGAUCGCGUGUUCAAAUCACGUCAGGGUCA
This 67-nucleotide transfer RNA is filed under the name Caerostris extrusa. RNAcentral's name for it is "tRNA-Sup". It matches the Rfam family "tRNA". From Rfam's summary of the family: Transfer RNA (tRNA) molecules are approximately 80 nucleotides in length. Lineage: Eukaryota; Metazoa; Arthropoda; Arachnida; Araneae; Araneidae. The record is from RNAcentral.